Sinocyclocheilus anshuiensis is the source of this 560-nucleotide long non-coding RNA. Lineage: Eukaryota; Metazoa; Chordata; Actinopteri; Cypriniformes; Cyprinidae. The record is from Ensembl.
GCAGCGUCGCUCAACCGACAAAUCCUCUCAAGUCCUGAGUCCUGACUUCCUCCUCUGCUGUUUGCGAUGCAGCAGCGUCCCGUCUCCACAAUCCCUCCCACGCACCCUCCUGCCCUUGACUCUUACGGAUCGUAGGAGGAGGGAGAGGAGAAGCCGUAUUCUGUUCCUGUUUUGAGGUUGCAGCGACCGAUAUCUCUGCUUCCGACUGUGCGUUUACCGCGCCAUCCCUCCGGACUGUUUCUCCAUGCCCGUGCCGCAGCUCAGAUGGGAGACGUAAGUGCAGCAGCGGUUGUCUGGCAAGUGAACGCGCGCGGCAGGUCUCUCUGGCGGGCCAUCCCAAGCACGGGAUGCUGAACGGGAGCCGUGAGGGUUUGUUUGAACUGGGCAGGAAGCUCCAGCGGGAGGGAGACUCCCAAGCUGCUCUGCACUGCUUUUUGAGCUGCCUGCUGGGACUCACACAUGUGCAGAGCUUCCACUCGCUUCCCAACUGCCUGCAUCAGAUUGCUGAACUCUACAUUGAUGACAAGAAUUAUGGGAAAGCUUUGCAGUUCAUUCAGGCG